Molecule: ribosomal RNA, 445 nt
Filed under: uncultured bacterium
Lineage: Bacteria
Description: partial 16S ribosomal RNA
Rfam family: Bacterial small subunit ribosomal RNA
Source: RNAcentral
GUAGGGAAUAUUGGGCAAUGGAUGCAAGUCUGACCCAGCCAUCCCGCGUGCCGGAAGAAGGCCCUCAGGGUUGUAAACGGCUUUUGACGGUGAAGAAUCGACAGGAUGCGUCCUGUUUUGACGGUAGCCGUUGAAUAAGCACCGGCUAACUCCGUGCCACCAGCCGCGGUAAUACGGAGGGUGCGAGCGGUGUCCGGAUUUAUUGGGUUUAAAGGGUGCGUAGGCUGGAAGGUCAGUCAGCGGUGAAAAGCUGUCGCUUAACGAUAGUCUUGCCGCAGAUACUUCCUUUCUUGGAUGAGGAGGAGGCCACUGGAACGGAUGGUGUAGCGGUGAAAUGCAUAGAUAUCAUCCAGAACACCGAUUGCGAAGGCAGGUGGCUGUACCUUAAUCGACGCUGAUGCACGAAAGCAUGGGGAGCAAACAGGAUUAGAUACCCUUGUAGUCC